Molecule: non-coding RNA, 29 nt
Filed under: Homo sapiens (human)
Lineage: Eukaryota; Metazoa; Chordata; Mammalia; Primates; Hominidae
Source: RNAcentral
UNGCUGGCAGCUAGCUGUGGGUCCUUGGG